RNAcentral lists this ribosomal RNA (486 nucleotides) under uncultured bacterium. Its description in RNAcentral is "partial 16S ribosomal RNA". It matches the Rfam family "Bacterial small subunit ribosomal RNA", at positions 30 to 507 of the family's 1533-position model. The record is from RNAcentral.
AUUGAACGCUGGCGGCAUGCCUUACACAUGCAAGUCGAACGGCAGCACGGGUGCUUGCACCUGGUGGCGAGUGGCGAACGGGUGAGUAAUACAUCGGAACAUGUCCUGUAGUGGGGGAUAGCCCGGCGAAAGCCGGAUUAAUACCGCAUACGAUCUACGGAUGAAAGCGGGGGACCUUCGGGCCUCGCGCUAUAGGGUUGGCCGAUGGCUGAUUAGCUAGUUGGUGGGGUAAAGGCCUACCAAGGCGACGAUCAGUAGCUGGUCUGAGAGGACGACCAGCCACACUGGGACUGAGACACGGCCCAGACUCCUACGGGAGGCAGCAGUGGGGAAUUUUGGACAAUGGGCGAAAGCCUGAUCCAGCAAUGCCGUGUGUGUGAAGAAGGCCUUCGGGUUGUAAAGCACUUUUGUCCGGAAAGAAAUCCUUGGCCCUAAUACGGUCGGGGGAUGACGGUACCGGAAGAAUAAGCACCGGCUAACUACGUG